RNAcentral lists this ribosomal RNA (465 nucleotides) under Vreelandella stevensii. RNAcentral describes it as "partial 16S ribosomal RNA". It matches the Rfam family "Bacterial small subunit ribosomal RNA", at positions 338 to 795 of the family's 1533-position model. The record is from RNAcentral. Lineage: Bacteria; Pseudomonadati; Pseudomonadota; Gammaproteobacteria; Oceanospirillales; Halomonadaceae.
CCUACGGGGGGCUGCAGUGGGGAAUAUUGGACAAUGGGGGGAACCCUGAUCCAGCCAUGCCGCGUGUGUGAAGAAGGCCCUCGGGUUGUAAAGCACUUUCAGUGAGGAAGAACGCCUGGUGGUUAAUACCCAUCAGGAAAGACAUCACUCACAGAAGAAGCACCGGCUAACUCCGUGCCAGCAGCCGCGGUAAUACGGAGGGUGCGAGCGUUAAUCGGAAUUACUGGGCGUAAAGCGCGCGUAGGUGGCUUGAUAAGCCGGUUGUGAAAGCCCCGGGCUCAACCUGGGAAUGGCAUCCGGAACUGUCAAGCUAGAGUGCAGGAGAGGAAGGUAGAAUUCCCGGUGUAGCGGUGAAAUGCGUAGAGAUCGGGAGGAAUACCAGUGGCGAAGGCGGCCUUCUGGACUGACACUGACACUGAGGUGCGAAAGCGUGGGUAGCAAACAGGAUUAGAUACCCGAGUAGUC